GAUGAACGCUAGCUACAGGCUUAACACAUGCAAGUCGAGGGGUAGCAGGGUAGCAAUACCGCUGACGACCGGCGCACGGGUGAGUAACACGUAUCCAACCUUCCCAUAACUCGGGGAUAGCCUUUCGAAAGAAAGAUUAAUACCCGAUAGUACUUAUAUAGGGCAUCCUACAUAAGUUAAAGAUUUAUUGGUUAUGGAUGGGGAUGCGUUCCAUUAGAUAGUUGGUGAGGUAACGGCUCACCAAGUCUUCGAUGGAUAGGGGUUCUGAGAGGAAGGUCCCCCACAUUGGUACUGAGACACGGACCAAACUCCUACGGGAGGCAGCAGUGAGGAAUAUUGGUCAAUGGGCGAGAGCCUGAACCAGCCAAGUAGCGUGAAGGAUGAAGGUCCUAUGGAUUGUAAACUUCCUUUAUAGUAGAAUAAAGUGAUCCACGUGUAGAUUUUUGUAUGUAUACUAUGAAUAAGGAUCGGCUAACUCCGUGCCAGCCGCCGCCGUAA
RNAcentral lists this ribosomal RNA (498 nucleotides) under uncultured bacterium. Its description in RNAcentral is "partial 16S ribosomal RNA". It matches the Rfam family "Bacterial small subunit ribosomal RNA", at positions 28 to 523 of the family's 1533-position model. The record is from RNAcentral.